AGCGAACGCUGGCGGCAGGCUUAACACAUGCAAGUCGAGCGGGCACUUCGGUGUCAGCGGCAGACGGGUGAGUAACACGUGGGAACGUACCCUUUGGUUCGGAAUAACGCUGGGAAACUAGCGCUAAUACCGGAUACGCCCUUUUGGGGAAAGGCUUGCUGCCGAAGGAUCGGCCCGCGUCUGAUUAGCUAGUUGGUGGGGUAAUGGCCUACCAAGGCGACGAUCAGUAGCUGGUCUGAGAGGAUGAUCAGCCACACUGGGACUGAGACACGGCCCAGACUCCUACGGGAGGCAGCAGUGGGGAAUAUUGGACAAUGGGCGCAAUCCUGAUCCAGCCAUGCCGCGUGAGUGAUGAAGGCCUUAGGGUUGUAAAGCUCUUUUGUCCGGGACGAUAAUGACGGUACCGGAAGAAUAAGCCCCGGCUAACUUCGUG
RNAcentral lists this ribosomal RNA (433 nucleotides) under uncultured bacterium. Its description in RNAcentral is "partial 16S ribosomal RNA". It matches the Rfam family "Bacterial small subunit ribosomal RNA", at positions 29 to 507 of the family's 1533-position model. The record is from RNAcentral.